AUCAAUUGAUACUCCCCUAGUAGCGGCGAGCGAACGGGGAGGAGCCGACGAGUUUUAGUGUAGAAGAAAGGUUUGGAAAGGCCUACUGUAAAGGGUGAUAGUCCCGUAUUCGAAACACUUUAAUGAGCAUAUUAAGUAGGGCGGAACACGAGAAAUUCUGUCUGAAGAUGGGGGGACCAUCCUCCAAGGCUAAAUACUCGUGAUCGACCGAUAGUGAACCAGUACCGUGAGGGAAAGGU
This 239-nucleotide ribosomal RNA is filed under the name Chaetoceros curvisetus. Its description in RNAcentral is "partial Bacterial large subunit ribosomal RNA". It matches the Rfam family "Bacterial large subunit ribosomal RNA", at positions 224 to 515 of the family's 2925-position model. Lineage: Eukaryota; Bacillariophyta; Thalassiosirophyceae; Chaetocerotales; Chaetocerotaceae. The record is from RNAcentral.